GAUGAACGCUAGCGGCAGGCUUAAUACAUGCAAGUCGUGGGGCAGCAUGAGUAGCAAUACUUGAUGGCGACCGGCAAACGGGUGCGGAACACGUACACAACCUUCCGAUAAGUGGGGAAUAGCCCAGAGAAAUUUGGAUUAAUACCCCGUAACAUAUAGAGUAGGCAUCUUCUUUAUAUUAUAGCUUCGGCGCUUAUUGAUGGGUGUGCGUCUGAUUAGGUAGUUGGCGGGGUAACGGCCCACCAAGCCUACGAUCAGUAGCUAAUGUGAGAGCAUGAUCAGCCACACGGGCACUGAGACACGGGCCCGACUCCUACGGGAGGCAGCAGUAAGGAAUAUUGGACAAUGGGCGAAAGCCUGAUCCAGCCAUGCCGCGUGAAGGAUUAAGGUCCUCUGGAUUGUAAACUUCUUUUAUUUGGGACGAAAAAAGGGAAUUCUUUCCCACUUGACGGUACCAAGUGAAUAAGCACCGGCUAACUCCGUGCCAGCAGCCGCGGUAA
RNAcentral lists this ribosomal RNA (500 nucleotides) under uncultured bacterium. RNAcentral describes it as "partial 16S ribosomal RNA". It matches the Rfam family "Bacterial small subunit ribosomal RNA", at positions 28 to 523 of the family's 1533-position model. The record is from RNAcentral.